AUUAGGGUGUCUGAUAAAAGUAACAAACUGUAAAUUUGUAAAUGAAUUGAAUUCUCCUAAUA
This 62-nucleotide transfer RNA is filed under the name Tricentrus sp. EMHAU-15062504. RNAcentral describes it as "tRNA-Tyr". RNAcentral also lists the same sequence under 1 other name. Lineage: Eukaryota; Metazoa; Arthropoda; Insecta; Hemiptera; Membracidae. The record is from RNAcentral.